RNAcentral lists this long non-coding RNA (6094 nucleotides) under Sus scrofa (pig). RNAcentral's name for it is "lncRNA (ENSSSCG00045018441.1)". Lineage: Eukaryota; Metazoa; Chordata; Mammalia; Artiodactyla; Suidae. The record is from RNAcentral.
GGCCCAGGGUAGUACGUGGUGCAGAGGCCAAGUGUGCCUUGUGCAUCUCAUAAAUUGAAUUUAUUGAUUGCUUUUUCUUCUUUCUCACUUACACUCUCACUUAGUCCCGAUUCCUCCUUGGAGCUCCAUUCUCUUCCCCUCCCCAGUUUUCUUAUCCCUCCUUAGUGAAAACUCAUGUAUGUCCAGGACCCGUUGCUUUUUUUUUUUUUUUUUAAGCUAUUUUAGGGGCUGUGGAUUUUUAGAGUUGCACCUGUGGCAUACGGAGGUUCCCAGACAAGGGCUUGAAUUGGAGCUACAGCUGCUGGCCUACACCCCAGCAAUGCUAGAGCCGAGCCGCUUCUGUGACCUACACCACAGCUCUCGGCAAUGCCGGAUUCUUAACCCACUGAGCAAGGUCAGGCAUCGAACCCACAUGCUCAUGGAUACUCGUUGGGUUCAUGACCACUGAACCACAACGGAACUCCCCCAUUCCCAUUUUAGUUUCUCCCCUAAACCUUUCCCCUGUAAGCCUUCCUUUUUCUACAUCCAGCUUUACUAGGUUGUUUGAAAUCUUAGUAAGAUGCUGAGUAUGCGCAGUCAGAGACAAGCAUUCUGAGUGGUAUCUUUUUUUUUUAAAAAAAGACGAAACUAUUUUUGUUCUCUUGUGGUUGUUGUAUACAGUCCAGGGUUGCCAUAAUUCCUCUUAAAUAUAUUGAAACAGCCUGUAGCUGACACACUGCUACUACCACAGUCAACCCCUCCAAGAAAGCUGUAAUUCAAAAAUCAAUUGACAAGAGUACUGUGUAACAAAAAUAUUUGAGGAAAAGAGUUAAGAUCAUCUUAAUCAAUGGAAAUGACACGCAGCUUUCAGCUGCCAGGGUCACUGCUCCUCCUCUCUUCAGUGAGGGCUGCCUUCCUUGGUGGCUGGAAUCAGAGACAGACUUGGGAAAAGAGCAGAGUGGGUGCCUGACUGUUCUCUCCUCUUGGUGGUUCACCCAGCUGUGCAUAAAAGGCCUUCCUGCAGGCCCCAAUAUGUGAAUGAUGAGCAAAUGCAAGGAAUUUCUUUCCCCACAUUAAGAUUAAGUGUUAGCAGUUCCUUAAAUGAAGGAAGCAAUUUUUUAUAACUUGCAAAUCUUCUCCCUCAUUCUUCAGGGAAUUUCCUAUGUUAAUUUAUGCAGCGUUAAAUUUAUGCAGUUUUGAAAUUCAGCCCAACAGCAGCGACUUACAGACCCAAGACAGAGGUGGUGGGAGGACCCAGAGGUGGAGCUGACUGACGCUGACCCUGCCAGGCCUCAAGAUUCCUCCAGCCAAAGGUCCUUGGGCCUGGGUUUGGGCAGGUUUUAUUUCGUAGUUGUGAUAUAGUAAAAACACACUUAAUUUGUUUAAAAAAAAUUUCAGCUUGACAUUGUGUUUGUUAUUGUCUCUGAAAGAAAUGAGGUAGUUUUGUACCACCUCUGCCACCCAUUGGUGGCAACUGAGUGCAUUUUGACGGCAUGUGUGUAGACAGCCCUGGAAGACCCAAUCUUGCCCCCUGUGUCUUCAAGGAGCCUCCUGUGUCCUCAAGGAGUCACCGGUGAAUCAAGUGAACUGCUGUGCUCUCUUUGAGGAUGUGAUUUUUAAUGUGCAUAGCAAGGUAUUUUGUGAAUGUGGUUACUUUGUGUUUUAUAUUUGCUCAAAAUUGUUCCUUUUUAAUGUCUUCACCUUAGACUGACCCAUGGUUUUCGAACCAGCCAGAGCCCAGCUCAUCUUUCUUAAGUGAAUCUGACAUUCUUAGCAUUACUGACGUGGCUGAAAAAUUACUCUUCUGUGUUUGAUUGAGGUUGCAGGAAAAUAGUUUAAAAAGAUUCCCUAGACUCUUGUAAACACUUUAACUGAUGCUUUUAAUUAUGUUGUGGUCACAGCAGAUUAUUUUGCAACCUUUGAAGAGAGGUGCACUGUCACAUGGCAGUCACUAUAACCGUAAGACCUAACUAAAUUGCAGCGUUGAGGCACAGCCAUCUAGUUUUGACCCACAGGUAAUAGCUUAAAGUUCCCAUUGGUAUAUUGAAGAAAAUAGUGAGUCUGUAAUCUACGAAGUGGCAUCACUCAGAAAGUGAUCAUUUUCUUUAGUAACUAGAAGCCUUUACAUGGGCUCAUUGUAGAUCUGCUUUAUACUGACUUCGGUUUUGUAUUAAUAAAUAAUGUUGUGGCAGGGUUGUCUAUGUAUCUGGAGUUUAUAGAGCUUCCCAUCUGUAUAGUUGUAGAAACUUUCACAGAUCAAGUCACAAGGAUAUGAGGAUAAAUGAUACUGAGACAGUGCCUGGUCUAACUCUUACAUGGUAAGUGCUCAAUUUUUAAGAUUUCCAGCAAAUACAGAGCUCAUAUGAAUGGUGGGUUUGAGAGGAGCCUCACAUUCUGGUGUUAGUUCUAUAGGACACCUCUCCUGAGAGGAGUCUUCCAUUUAAUCUGCUCUGUCUUUCCAGUUUUUUCUAGAUGCAUCUAGCUUUUCUAAUUCAUUUCUCCCUUGACUGCAUCAUUUUUUUCUGACCAUUUCAUUGUGUAACCUCUACAAACUGCCUUGCUUUUAUAUCUAUUAUAUCUUUUAUCUCUGUUCUUCUUUGGUGCCCUGUGGACAUAGACUUCUUAGAAGCCUGUCAUCAUGGAUGCUUUAAUAGUAAUCUCUAGGAUAAGCUAUUCGUCCUGUGCUUCUGUGACCCAAUGUGCUGAUGUGCCCCUCCUCUUUUUUUUUUCUGACCCUUUAUUUCAAUCUCCUUUCUUCAUCUCUAACCCUAAAUUAAACCUUUAUCUAAAAAACCUUUGACCUCUUUCCCAAGCCUACAACUUCUCUGUAGACAUUUACUUCUUGGAUGUGUCAUCAUCAUCCCAGACUCUCAAACCCCAAAAAUAGCAACAACAACAACAACAACACAAGACAAAAAGACAAAAGACAAAAAAAAAACAAAAACAAAAACAAUAUGGUACUGGCAUUAAAACAUGGGUAGACCAAUGGAACAGAAUUGAGAGCCUAGAAAUAAACCUAAGCAUAUACAGUCAACUGAUAUUUGACAAGGCAGCCAAAAAUACUCAAUGGAGAAAAGAUAGUCUCUUCAAUAAAUUUAAUAAAUGGUACUGUAAAAAUUGGAUGUGUACAUAUCAAACAAUAAAACUAGACCUUUAUCAGAGUUCCCAGUGUGGUGCAAUGGUAUCAGUGGUGUCUCUGCAGCACUGUCACUCAGGUUCGAUCCCUGGCCCAGCACAGUGGUUUACAAAUCCAGUGUUACCUCAACUGUGGCAUAGGUAGGCCCAGGAACUCCAUAUGCCACAGGGCAGCCAAAAAAGAAAACAAAAAGCAUGAGUUCCUGUUGUGGUUCUGCGGUUAACAAACCCAACUAGCAUCCAUGAGGAUGCUGGUUUGAUCCCUGACCUCACUCACUGGGUUAAGGAUGGUUCAUUGCCAUGAGCUGUGGUGUAGAUCGCAGAUGCAGCUUGGAUCCCGAGUUGCUGUGGCUCUGGUGUGAGCCGGCAGCUACAGCUCUGAUUAGACCCCUAGCCUGGGAACCUCCAUAUGUAUGCCAUGGGUGCGUCCCUAAAAAGACAAGAAGCCAAAAACAAAAUAAAAACAAAAUAAACCAGGGGAGUGGGGACUAGACUUCUAUCAUAUACCGCUCACAAAAAGUAACUGAAAAUAGAUUAAAGACUUAAAUGUAAGACCCGAAAUCAUCAAACUCUUAGAAGAAAACAUAGGGGAAAAAGCUCCAUGAUGUGGGUCUUGGUAAUUAUUUUUUGGAAAUCAUACCUAAAACAUAAGCAACAAAAUAAAAAUGAAAAAGUGGGACUACAUCAUCUAAAAAGCUUGUGCAAAGCAAAAGAAAGCAACAGAAUGAAAAGACAACCUACAAAAUGGGAGAAAAAAUUUGCAAACCAUGUUUCUGUUAAGGGAUUAAUAUCCAAAAUGUAUAAAUAAUUCAUACACUUCAGUAGAAACAAAGCAAUGAAAAACUGUGCUAAGGAUUCUGAAUGACAUUUUUUCCAAGAUUCACAAAUGGCCAACAGGUGUAUGAAAAGAUGCUCAGCAUCACUGAUCAUUAGGUAAAUGUACGUUAAAGCCACAAUGAGAUAUCUCCUCAUGCCUGUUAGAAUGGCCGUCAUCAGAGAGACAAGAGAUAACAAAUGCGAGCACAGAUAUGGAGAAAAGGAAUCUCUUGUGUACUAUUGGUGGGGUUGUAAAUUGGUGUAGCCACUGUGGAAAACAGUGUGGAGGAUCCUAAAAUAAUUAAAAAUAUAACUACUCUAUGAUCCAGGAAUUCCACUCCUGGGGAUAUCCAAAUGAGCAAAAACACUAACUCAGAAAUAUGUCUGCACCCCCAUGUUCAUAGCAUUAUUUGCAGUAGUCAGAACAUGGGAACAACCCGUGUCUAUCAAUAGAUGAAUGGAUGAAGAAGUUGUGGUACAUGUAUACAGUGGAAUAUUAUUCAGCCAUAAAAAAACCCAAUGACAUCCUGCCAUUUACUACCAUGUGGGUAGACCUUGAAGGCUUUUGGCCAAGUGAAAUAAAUCUGACAGAGAAAGACAAGUCCUGUAUGAUCUCAUGUAUAUGUCAACUCUAAAAAUAAAUGAAAACUAAGCUUAUGGAAAAAGAUAAAAGUUGUGGUUACAAGAGGGGGCAGGAGGAAGAGGAAUAAAUAAGUACAAGGGAUGUAAUAAUGUGCAGUGUCUUUUUAUUCUGUCUGUGUGAGAUGAUGCAUGUUAACCUAUUGUGGCCAUCAUUUUCAGAAUAUGUGUAAAUCCAGCCAUCCUGCUGUAAACCUUAAACCUUGUGCAGUGAUAUAUAUAUGUCAAUUAAUUCUCAAUAAAAUGAAAAAAAAAAAUCUUCCUGUCUACUGCUCCUCAUCCCCACCCACAUAAAUAAAUAGAAUGCAGGGGCCAUUUCUGUCACUUGGGAAUACGUGUUUAGAUCCAUGUAGAUCCACCCAGUGUUACGAGUUCGUGAACAUCUGCCUUCUGACUAGAGUGAGCAGAGGUUUCCGAGAAAGGAUCCCAUCUUCAAUUGAGAGAUUUCCUCUCUGCCCACUUCACCCGACCCUGGCCCCCUUGACAGUAUCUGUUCUCAGUCUCCAUGGGCACCAGAAACUCUCCCACACGUUUCCAAAUGUCCGGGGUGGUAGGAUGGCACACACACUCCCCACCUCCUCCUCCUCCUCCCCCCCCGGGCCAGGCCGUGCUCACUGGUAGGGUUCAUUUGGAGGUUAGGCAUGAUCCACAAUGAUGUUCAUGAAAGGUAUUUCGAGACCAGAAAGCAUAUUCCUUGCUUUAUGUGUCUUUUGAGGUAGGUCUUCGAAAAGCAUUACAGAACAUUACUAAAUAAUUAACAUCUGUGUCCUGGUCCCCUCCUUCUGGUGGUAAAUCUUACGUGUUCUAUUUUUCUUGCAGAGCAUGCUUGAAAAGGGAGGAUAAAAGCAACUUUUAGAACAAGCAAAAUUCCCUCAACGUUAAUUCCAGAGGUGGAACAUUUUUUUUUUCCUAGUAAGAAAGUAACCCAUUUAAAGAGAAGACCGUUAAAGAGAAGCAUCAGAGAGCAGAUUCAUCAGAAGCAUAUCACAGUUUGAUCAGCAACAGUUUGAAAAGCCAAGGCCUCCGUCAGGGAUGAGCCAUCAAGGACGUGCUGCAGUGUUAAUAAACCUCAUUUAUGAUGAUUAAAAAGAAAGGUCGCCCUCUCCACCUUCUGUGCUUUCUAUUCAGCUUCCUCUCCUAACCAAGCCCCAUCAUUUGGUGACCCUUCCGUCCCACUAAGCUGGGGGUUGGCGUCGAGGGCUAAGGUCUUUGGAGUGGGGAAAACCUUCCAUUUCAGGCCAGCUGCACCAGGCGGAAUUGGCUAGGCUGGGGCAUGGUGGGGUGCUCUUUUUCUUUUUUCCUUUGACUAUGUAAGAGCUUCUUUAUUUUAACUCAUGGUGAUCAUGUAAGAAGACGAAAGGCAAGAAAAUGUACCUCUCUUACUGGAAUAAUGUUUCUGGUUAAACGUGAAAUAAGGCAUCUUUUUAUCAAUAUGAAGGCAACUUGGCUUCCCCCACCCUCUCCUCUGUCAUGAAUACUGACAUCUUCACCCACCAUCAAUAAUAAAUCUAUUUUCUGAUGAAGA